AGAGUUUGAUCAUGGCUCAGAUUGAACGCUGGCGGCACGCCUAACACAUGCAAGUCGAGCGGUAACAUGAUUUGUAGCAAUACAAAUUGAUGACGAGCGGCGGACGGGUGAGUAAUACGUAGGAACCUGCUGAAGCGGGGGACAACCAAGGGAAACUUUGGCUAAUACCGCAUAACCUCGAGAGAGCAAAGCUGCCGCAA
Molecule: ribosomal RNA, 200 nt
Filed under: uncultured bacterium
Lineage: Bacteria
Description: partial 16S ribosomal RNA
Rfam family: Bacterial small subunit ribosomal RNA
Source: RNAcentral